GAUGAACGCUGACAGAAUGCUUAACACAUGCAAGUCGAUGGGGAAGUGGUGCUUGCACCAUGGCAACCAUGGCGGACGGGUGAGUAACGCGUAAGGGACUUACCUGCAGGACUGGGAUAACAGGGGGAAACUCCUGACAAGACCGGAUAAUGUCAUGGAGCUGCACGGCUUUAUGAUGAAAGGAGACGCCUGCGGAGAGCCUUGCGUCCUAUUAGCUAGUUGGUGAGGUAAUGGCUCACCAAGGCGAAGAUAGGUAGCCGGCCUGAGAGGGUGGACGGCCACAAGGGGACUGAGAUACGGCCCUUACUCCUACGGGAGGCAGCAGUGGGGAAUAUUGGACAAUGGGGGCAACCCUGAUCCAGCAAUUCUGUGUGCACGAAGAAGGUUUUCGGAUUGUAAAGUGCUUUCAGCAGGGAAGAAGUAAGUGACGGUACCUGCAGAAGAAGCGACGGCUAAAUACGUG
This 463-nucleotide ribosomal RNA is filed under the name uncultured bacterium. RNAcentral's name for it is "partial 16S ribosomal RNA". It matches the Rfam family "Bacterial small subunit ribosomal RNA", at positions 28 to 507 of the family's 1533-position model. The record is from RNAcentral.